GAUGAACGCUGGCGGCGUGCCUAAUACAUGCAAGUCGAGCGAACGGACGAGAAGCUUGCUUCUCUGAUGUUAGCGGCGGACGGGUGAGUAACACGUGGAUAACCUACCUAUAAGACUGGGAUAACUUCGGGAAACCGGAGCUAAUACCGGAUAAUAUUUUGAACCGCAUGGUUCAAAAGUGAAAGACGGUCUUGCUGUCACUUAUAGAUGGAUCCGCGCUGCAUUAGCUAGUUGGUAAGGUAACGGCUUACCAAGGCAACGAUGCAUAGCCGACCUGAGAGGGUGAUCGGCCACACUGGAACUGAGACACGGUCCAGACUCCUACGGGAGGCAGCAGUAGGGAAUCUUCCGCAAUGGGCGAAAGCCUGACGGAGCAACGCCGCGUGAGUGAUGAAGGUCUUCGGAUCGUAAAACUCUGUUAUUAGGGAAGAACAUAUGUGUAAGUAACUGUGCACAUCUUGACAGUACCUAAUCAGAAAGCCACGGCUAACUACGUGCCAGCAGCCGCGGUAAUACGUAGGUGGCAAGCGUUAUCCGGAAUUAUUGGGCGUAAAGCGCGCGUAGCGGUUUUUUAGUCUGAUGUGAAAGCCCACGGCUCAACCGUGGAGGGUCAUUGGAAACUGGAAAACUUGAGUGCAGAAGAGGAAAGUGGAAUUCCAUGUGUAGCGGUGAAAUGCGCAGAGAUAUGGAGGAACACCAGUGGCGAAGGCGACUUUCUGGUCUGUAACUGACGCUGAUGUGCGAAAGCGUGGGGAUCAAACAGGAUUAGAUACCCUGGUAGUCCACGCCGUAAACGAUGAGUGCUAAGUGUUAGGGGGUUUCCGCCCCUUAGUGCUGCAGCUAACGCAUUAAGCACUCCGCCUGGGGAGUACGACCGCAAGGUUGAAACUCAAAGGAAUUGACGGGGACCCGCACAAGCGGUGGAGCAUGUGGUUUAAUUCGAAGCAACGCGAAGAACCUUACCAAAUCUUGACAUCCUUUGACAACUCUAGAGAUAGAGCUUUCCCCUUCGGGGGACAAAGUGACAGGUGGUGCAUGGUUGUCGUCAGCUCGUGUCGUGAGAUGUUGGGUUAAGUCCCGCAACGAGCGCAACCCUUAAGCUUAGUUGCCAUCAUUAAGUUGGGCACUCUAAGUUGACUGCCGGUGACAAACCGGAGGAAGGUGGGGAUGACGUCAAAUCAUCAUGCCCCUUAUGAUUUGGGCUACACACGUGCUACAAUGGACAAUACAAAGGGCAGCGAAACCGUGAGGUCAAGCAAAUCCCAUAAAGUUGUUCUCAGUUCGGAUUGUAGUCUGCAACUCGACUACAUGAAGCUGGAAUCGCUAGUAAUCGUAGAUCAGCAUGCUACGGUGAAUACGUUCCCGGGUCU
Molecule: ribosomal RNA, 1370 nt
Filed under: uncultured bacterium
Lineage: Bacteria
Description: bacterial SSU rRNA
Rfam family: Bacterial small subunit ribosomal RNA
Source: RNAcentral